UUAAAGUUAGUGUUAGUUUAGGGUAAGGACGUCCCAAGGAGUCUGGAUUGGAGUGACCAUUCAUAGAGUGAGAGACUGGCACGGUAUUUGAGAGCUCGGCAGCAACACAGACAUUCAUUUGUUAGUUGUUUUUUUACAAGUGGCAGAAGCGAUUUUCGAGUGUCUGCCCCAUAUAGUUUCAUUGGAGACAAUGAAAAUAAUUACCAAGAUGUACUUGAUCCAAUUGAGGAGAUGAUGAGGCAAAGAAGACUGGCAAAGGGAAGACGAAGACGAAGAAGAAGCCAGAGAGAGAACAAGCGAAGGAGGAGGAGAAAGACAGUCAGGUGCAGCAGAAGGAGGAAAUGGUGGAAAGUAAGCCAGAAGACAAUAAAAAGUCAGGGUUGGGAGGAUGGCCCCUUCCCCAGAGGACCUCUACUUCUCCUCACUGCCCUUAAUGCUCUCUAGUGGAACACAAGUGUUGUUAUGAGUCAACCUGUUGCAACAUGUAACACACUGUGAGCCCUUACUGUGGAUCAUUUGUCUGAUGAUGCAAUGUUGAGUGUAAUAAAUGGUUAUUAAU
This is a long non-coding RNA of Salvelinus namaycush (lake trout), 559 nucleotides long. RefSeq lists it as uncharacterized. The transcript has 3 exons. NCBI's taxonomy places the organism in Eukaryota, Metazoa, Chordata, Actinopteri, Salmoniformes, Salmonidae. The record is from RefSeq and is a predicted model, not a curated record.